GCUCAUAGCGUAUAUUAAAGUUGUUGCAGUUAAAAAGCUCGUAGUUGAAUUUCGGGAUUAGUACGUUGGUCGUGCCUUAGGUACGUACUGGUGUUACUGGUUCCUACCUUCUGACGAACCAUCAUGUCAUUAAUUUGGUGUGGCGGGGAAUCAGGACUGUUACUUUGAAAAAAUUAGAGUGUUUAAAGCAGGCUCGCGCUUGAAUACAUUAGCAUGGAAUAAUGAAAUAGGACGUCGACCCCCUUUUGUCGGUUUCUUGGA
This 261-nucleotide ribosomal RNA is filed under the name uncultured Glomeromycotina. RNAcentral's name for it is "partial small subunit ribosomal RNA". It matches the Rfam family "Eukaryotic small subunit ribosomal RNA", at positions 590 to 856 of the family's 1831-position model. The record is from RNAcentral. Lineage: Eukaryota; Fungi; Glomeromycota.